RNAcentral lists this ribosomal RNA (1219 nucleotides) under uncultured archaeon. RNAcentral describes it as "bacterial SSU rRNA". It matches the Rfam family "Archaeal small subunit ribosomal RNA", at positions 87 to 1307 of the family's 1478-position model. The record is from RNAcentral.
GGCUCAGUAACACGUAGUCAACCUACCCUAUGGACGAGAAUAACCUCGGGAAACUGAGGAUAAUUCUCGAUAGAUCAUAAUUCCUGGAAUUGGUUUAUGGUCCAAAUGAUUCGUCGCCGUAGGAUGGGACUGCGGCCUAUCAGCUUGUUGGUGAGGUAAUGGCCCACCAAGGCUAUUACAGGUACGGGCUCUGAGAGGAGAAGCCCGGAGAUGGGUACUGAGACACGGACCCAGGCCCUAUGGGGCGCAGCAGGCGAGAAACCUUUGCAAUGUGCGCAAGCACGACAAGGUUAAUCCGAGUGCUUCCUGCUAAAGGAAUCUUUUGUUAGUCGUAAAACCACUGAUGAAUAAGGGGUGGGCAAGUUCUGGUGUCAGCCGCCGCGGUAAAACCAGCACCUCAAGUGGUCAGGAGGAUUAUUGGGCCUAAAGCAUCCGUAGCCGGUUCUGCAGUUUUCGGUUAAUCCACUUGCUCAACAAAUGGGCUGCCGAAAAUACUACAGAUCUAGGGAGUGGGAGAGGUAGACGGUAUUCGGUAGGAAGGGGUAAAAUCCUUUGAUCUAUUGAGGACCACCUAUGGCGAAGGCAGUCUACCAGAACACGUUCGACGGUGAGGGAUGAAAGCUGGGGGAGCAAACCGGAUUAGAUACCCGGGUAGUCCCAGCUGUAAACGAUGCAGACUCGGUGAUGCACUGGCUUGUGGCCAGUGCAGUGCCGCAGGGAAGCCGUUAAGUUUGCCGCCUGGGAAGUACGUACGCAAGUAUGAAACUUAAAGGAAUUGGCGGGGGAGCACCACAAGGGGUGAAGCCUGCGGUUCAAUUGGAGUCAACGCCAGAAAUUUUACCCGAGGAGACAGCAGAAUGAAGGCCAAGCUGGAGACUUUACCAGACAAGCUGAGAAGUGGUGCAUGGCCGUCGCCAGCUCGUGCCGUGAGAUGUCCUGUUAAGUCAGGUAACGAGCGAGAUCCCUGCCUCUAGUUGCCACCAUUACUCUCAGGAGUAGCGGGGCGAAUUAGCGGGACCGCCGCAGUUAAUGCGGAGGAAGGAAGGGGCCACGGCAGGUCAGUAUGCCCUGAAACCUUGGGGCCACACGCGGGCUGCAAUGAUAGUAACAAUGUGUUCCAAAUCCGAAAGGUAGAGGCAAUCAUCAAAUGCUAUCUCAGUUAUGAUUGAGGGCUGCAACUCGCCCUCAUGAAUAUGGAAUCCCUAGUAACUGCGUGUCA